CUAAUUCCAGUCCGCCGUGAAGUUUACGGGGACGGCCGUAUUUUCGAUAUUACUCACCGAUUAAGCCCUGAUAUGCCGUCGUGGGGAUUAGAAGACGGGCUUGGCCAAUUCCUGUGGCUUCCAAAUAGCAUGAAGUAUGGUUCUCUUGCUAAUAACUCCGAGAUGAAACUUGCGACUCACACUGGCACUGAUAUUGAUGCUCCUGGUCAUGUCUACGAGCCAAAUAGCAUGAAGAAUGGUUCUCUUGCUAAUAACUCCGAGAUGAAACUUCCGACUCACACCGGCACUCAUAUUGAUGCUCCUGGUCAUGUCUACGAUCAUUAUUUCGAUGCCGGCUUUGAUAUCGACACUCUUGA
Molecule: long non-coding RNA, 356 nt
Filed under: Nicotiana benthamiana
Lineage: Eukaryota; Viridiplantae; Streptophyta; Magnoliopsida; Solanales; Solanaceae
Description: long non-coding RNA (NBEN_LNC008676)
Source: RNAcentral